ACGGGUGAGUAAUGCAUCGGGACCUACCCAGACGUGGGGGAUAACGUAGGGAAACUUACGCUAAUACCGCAUACGUCCUACGGGAGAAAGCAGGGGACCUUCGGGCCUUGCGCGGUUGGACGGACCGAUGUGCGAUUAGCUAGUUGGUAGGGUAAUGGCCUACCAAGGCGACGAUCGCUAGCUGGUCUGAGAGGAUGAUCAGCCACACUGGGACUGAGACACGGCCCAGACUCCUACGGGAGGCAGCAGUGGGGAAUAUUGGACAAUGGGCGCAAGCCUGAUCCAGCAAUGCCGCGUGUGUGAAGAAGGCCCUCGGGUUGUAAAGCACUUUUAUCAGGAACGAAAUACCACGGGUUAAUACCCUAUGGGGCUGACGGUACCUGAGGAAUAAGCACCGGCUAACUUCGUGCCAGCAGCCGCGGUAAUACGAAGGGUGCAAGCGUUAAUCGGAAUUACUGGGCGUAAAGGGUGCGUAGGCGGUUGUUUAAGUCUGUCGUGAAAUCCCCGGGCUCAACCUGGGAAUGGCGAUGGAUACUGGACAGCUAGAGUGUGUCAGAGGAUGGUGGAAUUCCCGGUGU
Molecule: ribosomal RNA, 578 nt
Filed under: Rhodanobacter sp. StRD642
Lineage: Bacteria; Pseudomonadati; Pseudomonadota; Gammaproteobacteria; Lysobacterales; Rhodanobacteraceae
Also listed under: 3 other names
Description: bacterial SSU rRNA
Rfam family: Bacterial small subunit ribosomal RNA
Source: RNAcentral